GGGCUUGACAUCCCACGAACCUGUGGAAACACGGGAGUGCCUUCGGGAGCGGAGAGACAGGUGGUGCAUGGUUGUCGUCAGCUCGUGUCGUGAGAUGUUGGGUUAAGUCCCGCAACGAGCGCAACCCUUAUGAUCAGUUAUCAGCGGGUGAAGCCGGGGACUCUGGUCAGACUGCCGGUGACAAACCGGAGGAAGGUGGGGACGAUGUCAAAUCAUCAUGCUCCUUAUGUCCUGGGCUACACACGUGCUACAAUGGUCGUUACAGCGGGAAGCGAAGCCGCAAGGCGGAGCGAAGCCGAAAAAAGCGAUCCCAGUUCGGAUUGAGGGCUGCAACCCGCCCUCAUGAAGUUGGAAUCGCUAGUAAUCGCGGAUCAGCACGCCGCGGUGAAUACGUUCCCGGGCCUUGUACACACCGCCCGUCACACCACGAAAGUUGCCUGUACUCGAAGUCGCUUAG
This 457-nucleotide ribosomal RNA is filed under the name uncultured bacterium. Its description in RNAcentral is "bacterial SSU rRNA". It matches the Rfam family "Bacterial small subunit ribosomal RNA", at positions 977 to 1434 of the family's 1533-position model. The record is from RNAcentral.